RNAcentral lists this ribosomal RNA (292 nucleotides) under uncultured bacterium. Its description in RNAcentral is "partial 16S ribosomal RNA". It matches the Rfam family "Bacterial small subunit ribosomal RNA", at positions 505 to 796 of the family's 1533-position model. The record is from RNAcentral.
GUGCCAGCCGCCGCGGUAAUACGGGGGGGGCAAGCGUUGUUCGGAAUUACUGGGCGUAAAGGGCGCGUAGGCGGCCUUCUAAGUCAGACGUGAAAUCCCUCGGCUCAACCGGGGAACUGCGUCUGAUACUGGAGGGCUUGGAUCCGGGAGAGGGAUGCGGAAUUCCAGGUGUAGCGGUGAAAUGCGUAGAUAUCUGGAGGAACACCGGUGGCGAAGGCGGCAUCCUGGACCGGCAUCGACGCUGAGGCGCGAAAGCCAGGGGAGCAAACGGGAUUAGAUACCCGCGUAGUCC